CCUACGGGUGGCAGCAGUGAGGAAUAUUGGUCAAUGGACGCAAGUCUGAACCAGCCAUGCCGCGUGCAGGAAGACGGCUCUAUGAGUUGUAAACUGCUUUUGUACGAGGAUAAACUCAGAUACGCGUAUCUGUCUGAAAGUAUCGUACGAAUAAGGAUCGGCUAACUCCGUGCCAGCAGCCGCGGUAAUACGGAGGAUGCGAGCGUUAUCCGGAUUUAUUGGGUUUAAGGGGUGCGUAGGCGGAUCGUUAAGUCAGUGGUCAAAUUGAGGGGCUCAACCCCUUCCCGCCAUUGAAACUGGCGGUCUUGAGUGGAAGAGAAGUAGGCGGAAUGCGUGGUGUAGCGGUGAAAUGCAUAGAUAUCACGCAGAACUCCGAUUGCGAAGGCAGCAUGCCGGCUUGCGACUGACGCUGAAGCACGAAAGCGUGGGGAUCGAACAGGAUUAGAUACCCCUGUAGUC
This 459-nucleotide ribosomal RNA is filed under the name uncultured bacterium. Its description in RNAcentral is "partial 16S ribosomal RNA". It matches the Rfam family "Bacterial small subunit ribosomal RNA", at positions 338 to 795 of the family's 1533-position model. The record is from RNAcentral.